RNAcentral lists this ribosomal RNA (814 nucleotides) under uncultured bacterium. RNAcentral's name for it is "bacterial SSU rRNA". It matches the Rfam family "Bacterial small subunit ribosomal RNA", at positions 609 to 1424 of the family's 1533-position model. The record is from RNAcentral.
UCAACCAUAGUGUGNUCUGGAAACUGUCUGACUUGAGUGCNGAAGGGGAGAGUGGAAUUCCAUGUGUAGCGGUGAAAUGCGUAGAUAUANGGAGGAACACCAGUGGCGAAAGCGGCUCUCUGGUCUGUCACUGACGCUGAGGCUCGAAAGCGUGGGUAGCGAACAGGAUUAGAUACCCUGGUAGUCCACGCCGUAAACGAUGAGUGCUAGGUGUUAGGCCCUUUCCGGGGCUUAGUGCCGGAGCUAACGCAAUAAGCACUCCGCCUGGGGAGUACGACCGCAAGGUUGAAACUCAAAGGAAUUGACGGGGGCCCGCACAAGCGGUGGAGCAUGUGGUUUAAUUCGAAGCAACGCGAAGAACCUUACCAGGUCUUGACAUCCCGAUGCUAUUCUUAGAGAUAGGAAGUUACUUCGGUACAUCGGAGACAGGUGGUGCAUGGUUGUCGUCAGCUCGUGUCGUGAGAUGUUGGGUUAAGUCCCGCAACGAGCGCAACCCUUAUUGUUAGUUGCCAUCAUUAAGUUGGGCACUCUAGCGAGACUGCCGGUAAUAAACCGGAGGAAGGUGGGGAUGUCGUCAAAUCAUCAUGCCCCUUAUGACCUGGGCUACACACGUGCUACAAUGGUCGGUACAACGAGUUGCGAGCCGGUGACGGCAAGCUAAUCUCUGAAAGCCGAUCUCAGUUCGGAUUGGAGGCUGCAACUCGCCUCCAUGAAGUCGGAAUCGCUAGUAAUCGCGGAUCAGCACGCCGCGGUGAAUACGUUCCCGGGCCUUGUACACACCGCCCGUCAUACCACGAGAGUUUGUAACACCCGA